UACGUAGGGCGCAAGCGUUAUCCGGAAUUAUUGGGCGUAAAGAGCUCGUAGGCGGUUUGUCGCGUCUGCCGUGAAAGUCCGGGGCUCAACUCCGGAUCUGCGGUGGGUACGGGCAGACUGGAGGUAUGCAGGGGAGAACGGAAUUCCUGGUGUAGCGGUGAAAUGUGUAGAGAUCGGGAGGAACACCGGUGGCGAAGGCGGGUCUCUGGGCAAUUCCUGACGCUGAGGCGCGAAAGCGUGGGGAGCAAACGGG
This 253-nucleotide ribosomal RNA is filed under the name uncultured bacterium. Its description in RNAcentral is "partial 16S ribosomal RNA". It matches the Rfam family "Bacterial small subunit ribosomal RNA", at positions 524 to 776 of the family's 1533-position model. The record is from RNAcentral.